This 485-nucleotide ribosomal RNA is filed under the name uncultured bacterium. Its description in RNAcentral is "bacterial SSU rRNA". It matches the Rfam family "Bacterial small subunit ribosomal RNA", at positions 359 to 836 of the family's 1533-position model. The record is from RNAcentral.
GAUUUUCGCAAUGCCCGAAAGGGUGACGAAGCGACGCCGCGUGGGGGAAGAAGGCCUUCGGGUUGUAAACCGCUGUCGGGAGUUAAGAAAUGUAAGGAUGUUAAUAGCAUCUUUGCUUGACUAAGGCUCCGGAGGAAGCCACGGCUAACUCUGUGCCAGCAGCCGCGGUAAUACAGAGGCGGCAAGCGUUGUUCGGAAUUAUUGGGCGUAAAGAGCACGUAGGCGGCUAUGUAAGUCGGUUGUGAAAGCCUUCCGCUCAACGGGAGAACAGCAUCCGAUACUGCAUGGCUUGAGUGCGGGAGGGGAGAGUGGAACUUCUGGUGGAGCGGUGAAAUGCGUAGAUAUCAGAAGGAACGCCGGCGGCGAAAGCGGCUCUCUGGCCCAUAACUGACGCUGAGUGUGCGAAAGCUAGGGGAGCAAACGGGAUUAGAUACCCCGGUAGUCCUAGCCGUAAACGAUGGGCACUAAGUAGAGGGGUUUUAAUC